UUUUGGAAUUGUCUUCAGUUAUUUACAUGUUAUGCCAUGAUAGCAGUAAAUCAGGAAUCUGAGCUCCGGACAAGUGUAGCACCUCUUGUUGAGCUGCUUGAUGCAAUUUCAAUGUGAAAGUCCCCUUUAGGGAUUGAAUGUAUUUUUGGUCUCAAACAUUCAAAGUAUGAACAGAACUAAAGCUCUUUCUCCUUCCCUCCCUCCUUCUCCCCAUCACUCUCUCUCCCUCCCUCCUUCUCCAGAUCACUUUCUCUCUCUCUCUCUCUCUCUCUCUCUCUGAAUCUCUAUCCCUCCCUGUGUUCUAUCCUUUCCUUCCCUCAGUUUCCUCAGAUGUUCCUCUGGUUGCUGUAGUUGUUGUCUCUGUCAGUCUGUUGGCUGCUGCAUUGAUGAUAAUUGUGAUGAUAUGAAAGAAAAGGACAAGUGAGUGUGUAACAUGCAACACUAUGAACAACUAGCACCUUUAUGGUGACAAUAACUUUAUGGUGACAAUACUAUAGUUCCAAAUUCAUCAUUUAAUCUUGUUCAUAUUUCAGAUGCUGGAGGAGAGCCAAGAGACAAAUCAACUCAAAGCAGGAGCAGUGCCAUAGUCACGCAGUCUGUUCAGCCACCAAACUCCUCAGCUAAUAUGGAGGAAGGAGCUGACCUGCACUAUGCAGCCUUUCAGCACCUCAACCCAACCCAAGCUGGGCCUUCUGCAAAGCAGUCUGAGGACACCGUGACCUACAGCACCCUCAUGCAGUUAUCUGGUGGUCAAGACCAGAACAGCAGCAGACCUGCUGGCAGACCAGCGGACCCCAAUACUAUGUAUGCUACUGUUCAGAAGAAUAACAAGAUACAGAAUUAACAGUUGUAUGAAUACGCAUACACGUACACAAGCACGCAAACACACAUACUUAAACACACACAAACAGACACACACAGACAUACACACACACAUGUAUGCAGUCAUAAAAGCACCCAGUGAGACUGUAUGCUUAUUCUACAGUUGCUUGUGGUUGCAUGUAGUUGUAUGAAAGCUCUCUCACAGCUCUUGCUCUGGUUAGCACUCCUGACCCUUUUAGACUGGGGGUGUGAAAUGUGUGCCUAUUUUUCUUCCACAA
Molecule: long non-coding RNA, 1100 nt
Organism: Clupea harengus (Atlantic herring)
Lineage: Eukaryota; Metazoa; Chordata; Actinopteri; Clupeiformes; Clupeidae
Exons: 4
Source: RefSeq, a predicted model, not a curated record